This is a long non-coding RNA of Macadamia integrifolia, 1091 nucleotides long. RefSeq lists it as uncharacterized. Lineage: Eukaryota; Viridiplantae; Streptophyta; Magnoliopsida; Proteales; Proteaceae. The transcript has 3 exons. The record is from RefSeq and is a predicted model, not a curated record.
UUCUCUAGGGGUGGGGUGACACUGUAAAUUUUUCCCUUUUCUUUGCUACUCGAUUUCGAGUCUGGGUCGGGUACUCUAGCUGAUCCACUUCCCUCUGUUUCUGCAAUUUUAUCACCUGAGAAGGAUUUCUAAGUAGUAGAAGAGUAAGAAAGAUCCCUGAUAGUUCAUUACGACGAGCCUGUUGAAAUGUCUACCUUAUUCAAUGAAAGAUGUUCAUUACGACAGUGCAAAAUUCCGUCCUCGCUCAUUCUUCAGGGUUGUCAAGCAUGCAGAUAUCAUGGUGGACUUGGAAACGCUCCUGACUACUCGGCCAUUUCUUAGAUUUCUAGAGAAGUUUCAUUUGGAUGAGUCAGAAUGGCAGAAAAUAAUUUGGCAUCUUUUGAAGAUAUCGUGAGUAGGGUUGGCAGAUCUGUAAAGCAUUUGAAAAAUAUACGAAGAUUGAUUCUGGGGCUAUAGUUCUCUAAAUGAUGUCACCCAUCUUCCCCCUCAAAGAAGAGACAAGAUGGAGACUUACUUGGGCAUGACAUUGAAGUAUUUAUACUUGCUGUUUGGGGACGGCAACAGCAGUGUUAUUCCUCCGGAUAAGUUUGUUUUUAACAUAGAAGCUCACCCUUUUGCCAUCGACAGCCUGGUGAAAAAGGAAUGACUCAUCUAUUAUAAUUAUUUUGAGUAAUCAUGUAAAAGAAAGCACGUAAGGAUUUGAAGGUAUCCUGGGUGAGAACACUGAAUCAGUUUCCUUUGAUGUCAUUGAAGCAUCCUAACAUGCUUUUGCUGUCACGAUUGGCCAUUCGAAGAUUGGCACUGGCAAUGUUGUUGAGGAUGUGAAGUGGCAUUACAAUGACAACAGUGGCAAAAGCUCUUGGCUGCUCUACUGUUACUUUUCCAGUGCAUAAGUGAUUUGUUGUGUCUUGUGUAUCACCGGGGAAAUUGGAAGAGAGAUAUAGCUGCAAACCUCGGGCACCCUAAUGCAGAUAAGUCACUUGGGAUAGUUUAAUUGGAAAUAAGCCUUGGGUUGGGUUAUGUAGGUGUUGGGCCUUUGAUCCCAUGGGUUUUCUUUGUAAUAAGACACUUUAAUGGGCCCAAAAUAUGGA